This 676-nucleotide ribosomal RNA is filed under the name uncultured eukaryote. RNAcentral's name for it is "SSU rRNA". It matches the Rfam family "Eukaryotic small subunit ribosomal RNA", at positions 609 to 1293 of the family's 1831-position model. The record is from RNAcentral.
GUUGUUGCAGUUAAAAAGCUCGUAGUUGGAGUUCAGGGUGAGCUCAGCUGGUCGGCCUAAUGGGUCAGAACUGGUUGACUCUCCCUUGGUUGUGGAUCCCUCCGGAGUUAAUUCUUCGGGUGUGGAGUCCACAUCGUUUACCUUGAAAAAAUUAGAGUGUUCAAAGCAGGCGUUUGCUUGAAUAUAUUAGCAUGGAAUAAUGGAAUAGGACGCUGGUUCUAUUUUGUUGGUUUUGAGAACCAGAGUAAUGAUUAAUAGGGACAGUUGGGGGCAUUCAUAUUUCAUUGUCAGAGGUGAAAUUCUUGGAUUUAUGAAAGAUGAACUUCUGCGAAAGCAUUUGCCAAGGAUGUUUUCAUUAAUCAAGAACGAAAGUUAGGGGAUCGAAGACGAUCAGAUACCGUCGUAGUCUUAACCAUAAACUAUGCCGACUAGGGAUUGGGCGUGGUUUGUUCAUUGACCCGCUCAGCACCUUACGAGAAAUCAAAGUCUUUGGGUUCCGGGGGGAGUAUGGUCGCAAGGCUGAAACUUAAAGGAAUUGACGGAGGGGCACCACCAGGAGUGGAGCCUGCGGCUUAAUUUGACUCAACACGGGAAAACUUACCAGGUCCAGACAUAGUAAGGAUUGACAGAUUGAGAGCUCUUUCUUGAUUCUAUGGGUGGUGGUGCAUGGCCGUUC